RNAcentral lists this ribosomal RNA (468 nucleotides) under uncultured bacterium. Its description in RNAcentral is "partial 16S ribosomal RNA". It matches the Rfam family "Bacterial small subunit ribosomal RNA", at positions 28 to 507 of the family's 1533-position model. The record is from RNAcentral.
GACGAACGCUGGCGGCGUGCUUAACACAUGCAAGUCGAACGGAAAGGCCCUGCUUUUGUGGGGUGCUCGAGUGGCGAACGGGUGAGUAACACGUGAGUAACCUGCCCUUGACUUUGGGAUAACUUCAGGAAACUGGGGCUAAUACCGGAUAGGAGCUCCUGCUGCAUGGUGGGGGUUGGAAAGUUUCGGCGGUUGGGGAUGGACUCGCGGCUUAUCAGCUUGUUGGUGGGGUAGUGGCUUACCAAGGCUUUGACGGGUAGCCGGCCUGAGAGGGUGACCGGCCACAUUGGGACUGAGGUACGGCCCAGACGCCUACGGGAGGCAGCAGUGGGGAAUAUUGCACAAUGGGCGGAAGCCUGAUGCAGCAACGCCGCGUUCGGGAUGACGGCCUUCGGGUUGUAAACCGCUUUCGCCUGUGACGAAGCGUGAGUGACGGUAAUGGGUAAAGAAGCACCGGCUAACUACGUG